Molecule: non-coding RNA, 3499 nt
Organism: Podarcis lilfordi (Lilford's wall lizard)
Lineage: Eukaryota; Metazoa; Chordata; Lepidosauria; Squamata; Lacertidae
Source: the annotation of a GenBank genome assembly
GUUAAAUACAUUGGAGUUAUCAGAAAACAAUAGUUAAUUAUCAACCCAUCUAGGAGCUCAGACAGCUUAAUAUAGCCCCAUGGAAAAUCCUCAUGUUAAAGCUUUCAGUAACACACGUGAGCAUUCUCCAUUUUAUUGUGAAUUAUUCAAUUAUACUUAACAAGUCCCGCUGCCAUCAUUGCAGUAUUGGACUUGAUUCCUGCACCCACCACCACCUGCCUUCCACUUGAGGUGGUGUGAACAAUGAGGUUGCGGAUGCAGUCAUAUCUCUGUCACACUAUCAUGCCCCAUCACUGCCCGACUGGGGUCUGUCUGGAUUAUCCUGUAAAGAACCCUUUGCUGUUGAAAAUGGAAAUUUCACUUGGGGUUGGCAUUCAAUUCUGAACACAUUUUUAGAGAAAGGCUUCAUGUGCCAAAGGACAGCAGGAUGCUUGUGCAGAUUCACAUAUAUAUUUAGUAUAAUACUUUGUAUAAUAGUUGUACGGUGAACACUAGACUUACCUUCGCCUUGAGCUUUGCCUGAAUGGUUGCAAUCUAAGUAUUGUAUUUAAGUGAAAGUCCUAAACAUCCCCUUAGAAAUGUAGAAGCAACUUAAAGAGAACCAGCAAUCAUACCAGCAAGAAAAUCUUUGAAAAGGUCAUAGAAAAAGGCCAGAUUUACUUAGAAGCCCCUCUGUGUUCAGUGGGUUUCCUCCUCUGAUUCAUGUGCAUAGGAUCCUUUCUCACUAUGGCAAAAUAUUACAGCACAUCGGUCGACUAUUUGAUUAGACAAAACAUUGUUUGUCACUUAGCUAAAGGUCGUAUAAUACAACUGUAACAGAAAUAAGCGUAUUGCAAAAAUCCACCAAAAUAAUUAAUGCUCGUUAUGCUAAAAAUAGCAUUCUGAAUUCUAUAAUCUUUAUUUUCAGCUAACUGUUGCUGAGCAACUAUAAGUGUCUAUGAACAACUUUAAAGAGAUUGAACAAGCCCUCAGAGCUAGUUUCGAUGGAGGCUUUGUCCUAGCUUUUGCUAUCAGGUGGUCCCUAUGGACAUUCUUGCUAGACUAAUUGACCACAAAUAUUAUUGCAUACUAAGUGGUCAAUUGACUGGCAUUCAAUGCUAGUAUAACAUAUAGAACUAGAAUUGGUUUAAACAAAGAUGAGGACAACAUUAGGAGGCAUAAUACACUCCUGGUAUUUAGCCCAGAUUGGGUAGCCAAUAUAGACAAUAUAUUACUUCAGAUACUAAUAUUGCACAGAUUGAAGCAAAUGGAUGCAUAAAAACUGGCUCCUUUUUGGAAAUAAAACAUUGUCAGGACCCAUAAGUUUGCUAAAAAGCUUUACUUGCAGAACUUCCUUCAAAACGUAACAAAAACAACAAAAAUACAUCCAAACAGUUCCAUAAGAUGCCAGUCCAAGGCAUAAACUCAGCAUCUUACAAAAUAUUACAUAAUUCCAACAGACCUAAAAGCAAAGGUUUUUUCUCUUCCCUACAGCCUCCAUUCUACCCUGCAUCCUGCCUGAGGCUGUUUAUCUGGAGAGCCAUUUACAUCUUCCAUUUACAUCUUCUGUUCUGGGAACAAAGACUAAAAGCAACUACCUUCAAAAUGGUGAUUUGCAAUUCAAUACAUCUCAUGUGAUCUAAGGUUAAACACUCAUGUGUCAGCUAGCAGAAAACAACAAUAGUUAAUUAUCGACUUAGUUAAAGCUCAGAGUUCCUUAGAAUACUACAGUGGAUUUCCACAAAAUUACCAAUACACAUUUAGGCAUUUUCCAUUUCAGUGUCAAUUAAAUAAUUAUUCUUAACAUAUGUCUGGGUCUGCCAGCCAUUUCCGUACACCUAGUUUGAAGCAGCAAGUGAACAUCCUGUUGUCCUGCAAGCUCAUAUUAUACUCACCAGUUCUAUAAAUGAUAUUUUGAGUACCACUAUUUGGCUUCAUAGACAAACACACUUUUUCAUGCUAAUAGGCAUCAUGUAGAAUAAUCCUUGGGAAAGUGACUACUUUGCUGUUCUUCCCUUAUCACAGCCUAAUUCUGUCCACUUGCUUCAUUUCUCAUGGAUAAUCUUUCCUUCUCACCAAUAUUUUGCAGGAAGGAAGAAGCUCUUCUGGAGGCUUCUUGCAAUACAUUUCCUGUUCCUUUGUUCAAAUGCUUCUUCCACUGGAAUCUGUUUUUUCUUCAUUUGGUUCCAUUCACCAGCCAGCCCUCCCUCCCUUGAAAUUUCUACAGCCACUUGUUCUACUGUGCAGAGGCAAAUUGAAAAGCAGCUUAAAGGUUAACCUUUACAAGCUUAUCGCUCCGUAAGUCUAGAAAACCUCAUAAGAAAUCCCUGCACUUCCUAAUGGUCUCAGGAACCUUAAUGGUGGUCCCUGGAUCACAACUGAGGGGCCACUGUUAUUAUAGGAUCUGCAAUGCUUUACAUAGCAUUAGUUUUCAUGUAUGGCUGCCAAGAACCUGUUCCCCCAGUAUUUUCCCCAAGCACAACAAAUAUUAUUCAUUUGGUUUUAUUUAUUAAAUUUGCAUACCGCCCUUCAUCCAAAGAUCACAAUGUGGUUCAAAACAUAAAAAUACAAAAUGAGAACACAAAGUACAUGUUAUUAUUAUAAUUUAAAAAACAAACCACCUCUCUCCCACAAACACAUUUAAAACGUGAUAGAAUGGUAAUUAUCCAAAGAUCUGGUUAUAGAGAAAUGUAUUCGCUUGGCACCUAAAGAUAGAAGAAGUUAAGAGAGACUGCCUAGGGGAACAUUCCGCAUACAGGGAGCCACUGCAGAAAUGCCCUUUCUCAUGCCCAGACCUCUCAUGAAGGAGGAACACAACGAUUGCAGGAUCCGGGCCAGACCAUAUGGGGAGAGGUGGUCCUUGAAGUAUUGCAGCCCUGAGCCAUUUAGGCCUUUAUAGGUCAAAACCAGGACUUUGAAUUGAAAUCCAGUGCAGCCAGGCUAGGAUAUGUGUACUGUGCUGGCAGUAGUAAUCUCAGUAGACCUAUUUUUAGCAAGACAUCAUACGUCCCAAGAGGCUUCUUAUUAGCUAAAUGUAAACAGCCAGUUCCUCUUUUUCCCCUCCUCCUCUUCCGCUGCUCUUUCUGCAAAAUCUGAUACAAAUGGCUUUAAAGCAGCAUCUUUGUCCUCUAGAACAAAACUGUCUUUUGAGCUCUGACAUAUUGAUCAACACGAUUUUUCAAAAAAGCUUUUAGUUUUAACAAAUGGGUUGCAGUUCAGUUGCCACCUUCAGCUUGGCAGGCCUGUCAUCUAGUUCAGAAAUACUUGCCACCUUAAGAAAGACUUGCCAUUCAGAUUCAUUUCUUUCUAUAAGUCAAUGUGUUGUAAAAUGGAACUAGGGUGUAACAAGUUACUAUAUCUAGCAAAGCAUUCAGUAAUGUUUCCACAUGACCACAGUAUGUCCUAAGGUAAAUAACAGUUCAAGUUGGCUUGAAUCAAAAUGCAAUUGAAUAGAUCAGAACAACAAUAGUAAUUAAAAAUGUUGGUCCACCCAUUCAAGGUUAGGCACCCAGCAGCAUCC